GGGGUUGUGGCUCAGUGGUACAGCGCUUGCCUAGCAUGCAUGAGGCACUGGGUUCGAACCCCAGCACCA
This 69-nucleotide transfer RNA is filed under the name Marmota marmota marmota (Alpine marmot). It matches the Rfam family "tRNA". From Rfam's summary of the family: Transfer RNA (tRNA) molecules are approximately 80 nucleotides in length. Their secondary structure includes four short double-helical elements and three loops (D, anti-codon, and T loops). RNAcentral also lists the same sequence under 2 other names. The record is from Rfam by way of RNAcentral. Lineage: Eukaryota; Metazoa; Chordata; Mammalia; Rodentia; Sciuridae.